Molecule: transfer RNA, 72 nt
Organism: Camelus ferus (Wild Bactrian camel)
Lineage: Eukaryota; Metazoa; Chordata; Mammalia; Artiodactyla; Camelidae
Rfam family: tRNA
About the family: Transfer RNA (tRNA) molecules are approximately 80 nucleotides in length.
Source: Rfam
GAGGGUAUAGCUCAGUGGUAGAAUGCAUGUCUAGCAUGCAUGAGGUCCUGAAUUCAAUCCCCAAUACCUCCA